UGGGGAGUAUUGCACAAUGGGGGAAACCCUGAUGCAGCAACGCCGCGUGGGUGAAGAAGGCCUUCGGGUCGUAAAGCCCUUUCGACGGGAAAGAAGGGGUGCAUUGCAAAUAGUAAUGCAUCUUGACGGUACCUGGAGAAGAAGCACCGGCUAAUUUCGUGCCAGCAGCCGCGGUAAUACGAAAGGUGCAAGCGUUGUUCGGAUUUAUUGGGCGUAAAGCGCACACAGGCUGGUUUGUGUGUCGAUUGUGAAAUACCUGGGCUCAACCUGGGAAUUGCAGUCGAAACUGCAGAUCUUGAAUAUUUGCGAGGGUGGGAGAAUUCCUGGUGGAGAAGUGAAAUUCGUAGAGAUCAGGAGGAAUACCGGAGGCGAAGGCGCCUACCUAGCACUAUAUUGACGCUCAAGUGCGAAAGCGUGGGGAGCAAACAGG
Molecule: ribosomal RNA, 430 nt
Filed under: uncultured bacterium
Lineage: Bacteria
Description: bacterial SSU rRNA
Rfam family: Bacterial small subunit ribosomal RNA
Source: RNAcentral